AUUGAACGCUGGCGGCAUGCCUUACACAUGCAAGUCGAACGGUAACAGGUCUUCGGAUGCUGACGAGUGGCGAACGGGUGAGUAAUACAUCGGAACGUGCCUAGUAGUGGGGGAUAACUACUCGAAAGAGUGGCUAAUACCGCAUGAGAUCUACGGAUGAAAGCAGGGGAUCGCAAGACCUUGUGCUACUAGAGCGGCCGAUGGCAGAUUAGGGAGUUGGUGGGAUAAAAGCUUACCAAGCCGACGAUCUGUAGCUGUUCUGAGAAGACGAUCAGCCACAGUGGGACGGAGACACGGCCCAGACUCCUACGGGAGGCAGCAGUGGGGAAUUUUGGACAAUGGGCGAAAGCCGGAGCUAGCAAUGCCGCGUGCAGGAUGAAGGCCUGCGGGUUGUAAACUGCUUUUGUACGGAACGAAAAGCCCCGGGUUAAUACCCUGGGGUCAUGACGGUACCGUAAGAAUAAGCACCGGCUAACUACGUGCCAGCCGCCGCCGUAA
RNAcentral lists this ribosomal RNA (498 nucleotides) under uncultured bacterium. Its description in RNAcentral is "partial 16S ribosomal RNA". It matches the Rfam family "Bacterial small subunit ribosomal RNA", at positions 30 to 523 of the family's 1533-position model. The record is from RNAcentral.